This 509-nucleotide ribosomal RNA is filed under the name uncultured bacterium. Its description in RNAcentral is "bacterial SSU rRNA". It matches the Rfam family "Bacterial small subunit ribosomal RNA", at positions 1 to 507 of the family's 1533-position model. The record is from RNAcentral.
GUCACGAGUUUGAUCCUGGCUCAGAACGAACGCUGGCGGCGCGCCUAACACAUGCAAGUCGAACGAGAAUCCGGGGCAACCCGGUAGUAAAGUGGCAAACGGGUGAGGAAUACAUGGGUAACCUACCCUUGAGAAGGGAAUAACCCGCCGAAAGGUGAGCUAAUACCCUAUACGCUAUCUUUUUUUCGAAAAGGAUAGGAAAGCCGGGUCGAGGACCUGGUACUCAAGGAGGGGCUCAUGUCCUAUCAGCUUGUUGGUGGGGUAACGGCCUACCAAGGCUACGACGGGUAGCUGGUCUGAGAGGAUGAUCAGCCACACUGGCACUGAGAUACGGGCCAGACUCCUACGGGAGGCAGCAGUGAGGAAUAUUGCGCAAUGGGCGAAAGCCUGACGCAGCGACGCCGCGUGGGGGAUGAAGGUUUUCGGAUUGUAAACCCCUUUCAUGAGGAAAGAUAAAGUGGGUAACCACUUAGACGGUACCUCAAGAAGAAGCCACGGCUAACUUCGUG